RNAcentral lists this ribosomal RNA (500 nucleotides) under uncultured bacterium. RNAcentral's name for it is "partial 16S ribosomal RNA". It matches the Rfam family "Bacterial small subunit ribosomal RNA", at positions 30 to 523 of the family's 1533-position model. The record is from RNAcentral.
AUUGAACGCUGGCGGAAUGCUUUACACAUGCAAGUCGAACGAUGAACCUUAGCUUGCUAAGGGGAUUAGUGGCGAACGGGUGAGUAAUGUAUCGGAACGUAUACAAUAAUGGGGGAUAACUAGUCGAAAGAUUAGCUAAUACCGAAUACGUCCUACGGGAGAAAGCUAGGGACCUUCGGGCCUGGCGUUAAUGGAGUGGCAGAUAUCUGAGUAGCUAGUUGGUGGGGUAAAGGCUCACCCAGGCGACGAUCAGUAGCUGGUCGGAGAGGACGACCAGCCACACUGGAACUGAGACACGGUCCAUACUCCUACGGGAGGCAUCAGUGGGGAAUUUUGGACAAUGGGCGAAAGCCUGAUCCAGCCAUUCCGCGUGAGUGAAGAAGGCCUUCGGGUUGUAAAGCUCUUUCGCAAGGGAAGAAAACUUAAGCUCUAACAUAGCUUGAGGUUGACGGUACCUUGAUAAGAAGCACCGGCUAACUACGUGCCAGCAGCCGCGGUAA